CUCCUCUUAGGGUCACAUCUGGAGUUUUUUUAGUAUUCCACCAGUCUUGAUUUCAGAGGGAGAGUCAAGCAGAGGCCUACCCAUUCCAUUCCUAGCUUGGGCAGUGGCUAGUGAGUGGAAGGCAAUCUGCUACAAGU
This is a non-coding RNA of Ornithorhynchus anatinus (platypus), 137 nucleotides long. The record is from Rfam. NCBI's taxonomy places the organism in Eukaryota, Metazoa, Chordata, Mammalia, Monotremata, Ornithorhynchidae.